UGCGGGCGAUCCCACAGUUGCUUUCAGUUUCUUUCUAACGUUUCGGGGAGCAGAGGGCAGUGACAACACUGAUUAUUUCUGGACACAGAAUUUAACAGAAUUCACGUGCUGGGGGUGCCCCAACGAGGCCCGCGAGUGCUUUCCUCCCCCGUGUCCGAUUUUCGCCCCGUCUCCCAACUUUGGCACUAACAAAAGGACUCGAAGUAGCCCAAAGUGCAACGCUCGUUUGCACGGGCGGGCGUGUGGUGUUCAUCCCUCAGCCCCCUGUAUGGAACCGAUCCCUCCUGCUCAGCUCGGCGAGGUGACACGAUCACAUCCUAUUGCAGUUUGGGAAACGCACUCCCUAACGCUGCCCUCUCGUUUCAGGAAGCGAGAUACGAAACCUCGAUGCAAUGGAAGACGAUGUGCACAGCCUGAAAUAUUUCUCGCAAAAUAGCCUGAAGUGGUGUUGCCUGUGCUACAUAAUCCGACGAUUGUAACGGAACAACAACAAAAUCCCACCAGAAAUAUUUCAGGCACUCCGUUUCACAUUGGCUAGGUCUGGGAUCUGGCAAGAGGGCAGGAAAAAAAAAAAAAAAAAAAAAAAAAAAAAAAAAAAAAAGGGAGAUAAAAACCCCAAACAACAAAACUAGUCCUAAAUGGAGACAGAAACCCUAAGCUAGGAGCUUCGGAGGGCUGCUUUCUACACAAAUUGAGUGCUGCGGGUCCUGGGCUUUUGAGAGAUCCGGGGCCGAGCCGGUGAGCGGGGACAGCGGUGGAGGAGCUGCAUGCACCCGGGCACGGCCGCAGCCCCGGGAGGAUCAGCUCGAGAGAGCCUCCCGGUUCCAAGGGAAAGGACGAGAAGCAAAAAUAAAGUCUCCAAGCCGAGAUAGCGAACGCCCAGCUCCUUCUCCUCGCCGCAGCCAGACGUGAUGCGGAGCGCAGGGAGCGGCCGCUGUCAGUGGCGGGGGCUGUGCCUGUCCCCGUGCAGCCGACGCAUCGCCGGGCCGAGCCGCGCUGCGCUGUGCCGCGUCGCUCCGCGCUCCGUUCCGCCGCUCUCCUCUCCGCUCCGCGCCCCGCUCCGCCCGGCUCCCCGCUAGCAGACACCUCGCGAGGCAGGCAGCAUACUGCCGGCAGCCGGCCCGGCCCCGCUACCCAGGUGCAGGGGGGGAGGGCUUAAAGCAGUGGGAGGUGAUAGAGGUAGGAGACAUCUGUGUCGUGAGGGGGUUAGUGGGGGUCAAGUAGAUGUUAACAAUAGGCGAGCGCGGUCCCUCUCGGGCAGCCCGCCUGCUCUUUCUUUCCCUCGCUCGCUUUUACCGGGUGGACAUCUAACUUGCUCCCUAAUGAUGCCUCCCCGGCUUUAAGAGUCCAGACUGCCCUGCAGUAACCCAAGACAAACACUUUCCCUGGCCAUCUGGAGAGCUCCUGGCUGCUCUGCCUGUGUCUCAUCACUGUGUGAAGAGACAGCAGUGCUAGAAAUCAAGCCACUCUCAGAUCUACUCUCUAAUCCCCUUCUGUUAGCUGAUUUCCAGUCAGACUGUUUGCUUUCGCAUUAGAUAAUAGCCUUAGAGAAAACAAUUAUCAUUUUCUUUUUCCCUUUGUAUUUUGUUCUUUAUAAAGUACAGUAUUGAGGAAGGCCUCCCUCUCUUUUUUUUUUCUUUUUUUCUCUUUUUUUUUUUUUAAAGAAAUGUACAUCUUUCGUGGUUUGCAGAACCCAGAUGCAAUUUCACACUUUCCUGGAAGGGGAUUCUGGAUUCUUCCAAAAGCAGAAACACGAUUGUGACUGCAGUGGAAAUUAAUUACGAACAGCUACAAUUAAUAGGAGUGUGCCACCAUUUGCUCCGCACUUCAUUCCCUAAUCGUUUCAGGAGGCAUCCAUACAUUUUCCGAUUCAUCAGUCAUUCCCUUCCACGUUUCUCAGAGAAUGUCAUUGUCAGUGAUGCAACCUACAGUGAAGCGGUGCUUCUGCUGUCAUGUUGACGCUACACAAAGAAGGCACCUCCAUGAAAAAAAAAAAAAGAAAAAAAAAAAAAAAAUCGACUUCAUAGAGUGAGGAAAAAAACUGUGUUUUUGUUGCGUUUCAGGCUAGUGAUUGGAGCUCUCAGAACUGUCUGGGCAUUUAGCGUAGGGUUUUUUGUUUGUUUGUUUGUUUUUUAAUGGCAAAUGUUAACUAAAAGCAGUGGUGUGUGUAGCAGAACUUCUCAUCAGCCGGCAUUGUUUAUCACUGUAUGCACACUCACACACAUGCUAUGGGCCUGCUCUUGCAAACUUGCAAGUGCCUGAUUUUAAGCACUGAAAUAGGUGUACUGAAUGUAAAGGAGCUUUACAUGUGCUCACAACAGGCGCAUACGCAUUCCUGGAAAGGACAUUUAUGAGCAUCAUUUAUCCGCUGCUGUGCCAGGCUUUGAAAAUGCAGUUGUUUUUGAAAAUACAUUUAAAGCAUGCUUUAGGAUCCAGUUAAAUGUAUCUCUCCUACAGAUAUUUAGAUACACAGGGCUUUAAUGAGCAGCUUGGCAUAGCAUAAUAAGAGGUCAAGUUUACCUUGAAGUGAAUUCAGCUCAACGGAGCAAUUACAUCAGGACAUGUUUUGUUCUACAGUGAUUUCAAUUUACACAACUGGUGGGAAGCCACAAGCCGGGCAUUGAUUUCUAAUUUAAAAGCUAUCUGCUUUACAGAGGUCCAUUUUGAGGCCAAAAUUAUUGGCCGAUUUUUAAAAAGCUUUUUAAAAAUAAUCUAAAAAUAGCAAAUUUCCAAUAUUUCCUUUGUCUGCUGCAGACAGAGACUUUGGUUGAGUCUGAAAAUCUGUGUGGCACGAUAGUUUCAUCCAUGUUGUUGAAUGGAAAGCUGAAAAGUGAGCAGGAAUUGUCGAAGGACACAGAGCAUGUUGUGCUGACGUGUUGAGGACCGAAAGCCGAGUCUGAAAUCUCAGCUUAAAACAACAGCAACAAAAAAACCUCACCAGAGCAGUUACCUCUGGCUUGUACCUUUAGUUUAAGAGAUCAGGUAUUAUCUUACGAAAGAGGGAAGGAGCAUCAUUUAGAAACUAUGGGAAGCUAUUAGCCAUUAAACAUCCACUUACAAACUGAAUCAAGUUAAUAUCUCCCAUUUUCUGUAAAGAGAAUAGUACAGAAGUCACCUUUCAGAAUGCCUGCCCUGCCUCACAGAGCAGUAGAUGCAGACCCUCACGCAGUGACUGAGCUCCCCCAUCACUCAGGGAGAAUACAUUGACAUGAUUCCUAAGUCAUAAAAGAUUGUAACUACCAAAUAUUGUCAUUAUAUUCCCUAGCUGAUGAGUGAAGCCUGGCUUAUUGCACGCCUCUCUUACCCACACCUUUUUCUUCUCUCUAUUUAUUUCCUGGAGAAAGCAGGUAUGUUUUAGUGCAAAAGGAAAAAUAAACAUGUUCUUUGAAACAUGAAUUUAUGUUUCAGGAAGAAAAAAAACGCAGGCUCACAGCAGACCUCACAAAUACUUGGUAACUUUACACCCCGCAGAUUUUUCCUGCAGACUGUAGCUGCCAUGUCUGAUUUGACAUGUGAAGGAUUUACACCGUGUAUCGCUGUGUGAUAUGGUGUGAGAGGAAGGCUGGUGGAAGUGGAGUUGCACAUGGGAGUCAGAAAUAUCCUGCGAUGCUGUCCAAAACUGACUGUAUUUUGAUUGUACAUAAACAGAUCAAAUGUUCUGAGCUGAAACGUGGCUUGCUUUUUGCUGCAAAUAAUUAUAUUAUGGGCACUCAUCCGUACUGACAUUCUUGGAACAGAAUUUCUGUAUCAACUCACCCCAGUGCCAUUUAAAAAUAGACACAUGUAUGUCCCUCCUAAUCAUCAUUGCCUCGCAGCUUCAGGUGUCAAACUCUGUCGCAUGUCUGCAUCUGGAAUCUGCUCUAACAGUUCUCUGCUCAAAAUUUACAGACUUGAAGCCCGUGCCUGUUUUGAGGUGAUGUCUUUCCAUUGAGAUGACUUGCAUUACCAAAAACCUCUCUGUGUGCUGCAGGAAGCAUGCGGGGAUCUCCCUGUUGUUUUGGGCUGGGCCAGGCCUUGGCACUGUGACUGCCACAGUGCUCAUUUCACCAGCACUUAUUUUCACUGAGGCACAGUAAACGUUCAUAUAAAACUAAACAGUUUAGCUCGAUAUUUGAUAGCUUUAACUUAUGAACUUAUCCAUGUUUUCCCAAUUUCCCCUGUAGUUUACAAGUGUUUUUUAUAUGUUAGCAUGGGCCGUGCUUAGUUUCCAUCCCCUCCUGGUUGCACACCCUUUGCAGGUGGCACACUCCAAAGGUGGUUGCUGCACAGUGCGUGCUGGUGAUACACAUACUCUGCAAAAUCCAUCACCGCUUGGCUGAGUGCAGGCUAAAUCCCACCUGGACCCUGUGCAUCAGGACAAGUGCUUGAUAAAAGGAGCAGAAAGUAUGCUGCAGCAGGACAGAUCUCCACCCUUCAGUAUGCAGAGCAUGUCCACUAGGUGAUGUACAUGCUGCAAGAGCUGGCACAUCACCUGCUUGCCAUCUCCCUUCUUGCUAUUGUUUACCCUCUGCUUUUGGUUCGGACGAAAAUGUGUUAAGUUCCUUCCAAAUGGAAAGAAAGAGGCUAUCUACCUUCAGGAUGUUACAGGCUUCACUGAUGUGCAUUUUGACAUCUCCUUGUCUGAUGUGAUAAGUUUUAGCCCUGCUUCAUGUAUAUUUAUUUGGGGAAUGCCUUAAUUAAAUUCUGUGCUAAGGGCACUUCUUGCAUUCCUCUUUGCCUUCCUUUGGCAUUGUCAGGUCUCCAAAAAACCCUUUGCUGUUGCAGCAUCCUGAUACGCCUUGCACAUGUAUACAUGUGCUGUGACAGAAAAAGGAGACCUGGGUUAUUUGGGAAAAGUUCAUGUAGACAGAAAGUACCUAUUGAUGGUCAUUUGCUGGAAUGCCAGCUUUGUCAUAGCUGUCAGACAUUUUCAGUGAAAUACGGCUUCUUAUUGAAAACACAAAUCUUUUCAGAAGGACGGUUCAGUUAAAUAUAGCAACAUCCACCAAAAAGAGGUAAGAAAAGUGUUUUGAAAACUUUUGUUUUCUCAGAAGCAAAAAGCUUGCCUUGCCCUAAUCUGCUGUGUAUGAUUUAUUUAUACAAAUAAAUAUGUUAAAUAUUUAUUACAUUAAUAUUUAAUAUUAAAUGUAUUUUAAGAUAAAAAAUAUUUAUUUUUAGUGCUGAGA
Long non-coding RNA from Tympanuchus pallidicinctus (lesser prairie-chicken), 5165 nucleotides. RefSeq lists it as uncharacterized. The transcript has 2 exons. The record is from RefSeq and is a predicted model, not a curated record. Lineage: Eukaryota; Metazoa; Chordata; Aves; Galliformes; Phasianidae.